Molecule: non-coding RNA, 605 nt
Organism: Odocoileus virginianus texanus
Lineage: Eukaryota; Metazoa; Chordata; Mammalia; Artiodactyla; Cervidae
Source: RefSeq, a predicted model, not a curated record
UGAGCGACCAACACUUUCACUUUCAGCUAUUAGAUAAGAAGACUGGAUAAAUUCUGAGCAGGUUAUUACAAGGCAGCAAAUAGAAAACCAUGCUCAGGAAGGUCUCUGCAGCCCUCUGAUGAAAGCCACCACCAUAAACCUCAAAUCCUGGACAAAGACAAAAUCGAUCAACCUUCUGAGCAUGCCCUAUGGCUUCUGAAUGAAGACUCUACAUUGUUUGACUUAUCCGGGAAUAGAACCGCUUGACAAUAUGGAAACGGUAACACAGGUGUGCUCGUUUACAGAUUCAGGGAACUUUCAAAGGACUCAGAGACAGGAGGAGAUAUUGAUUAAACACAUGAAGUCCAGCAACAUAUUACCAGGUCAGAGUCCCAGUUCAUCCUCUUACCGCAAGUGUAAUGAUGGACAAUUUCUACAACAUCUUUGUAAUUGUUUCCUCCUCUAUAAGGGAUAAUAUAGUAUUGACUUCCCAGGAUGCUAUAAGGAAUUCACAGGUAACACAUCUCUCGAAAUCCCAGUUAUGAGAAAGACACGUUAGAGUAUGCUGCAGUGUGGUCCCUUCAUUAAUUUAAGCAUAGAUAAUUACAAUGAUAAAAUUCUUUGAU